Long non-coding RNA from Physella acuta, 1597 nucleotides. RefSeq lists it as uncharacterized. Lineage: Eukaryota; Metazoa; Mollusca; Gastropoda; Physidae. The record is from RefSeq and is a predicted model, not a curated record.
UAGCAACCUAUAUAAAGAAGAAAAACGGUUUAGAUGAAGAAACAACACGUAAAUUUACAAAACAGAUACUAGAAGGUUUGGAAUACCUACAUCAAAAUAAAAUACUACAUCUGGAUAUUAAAGGCACUAACAUUUUAAUUGAGAAUAAAAUAGUGUUAAGAUAGCUGACUUUGGGCUUUCAAAAUUAAUUACAAAAGAGCAUGAUCUCCAGGCCAUAAACGGUUGUGGUACACCUGGGUUCACAGCACCUGAAGUGUUGGCAGGCGACCUAAAAUUAGAGUUCUAUUCCAAAGCUGACAUUUGGAGUGUUGGGUGUACGGUCGUUCAAAUGCUAACGCAAAAGCGACCAGACAAUUCCCUUCGAUAUGAACAGCAUGUCUAUAAGCUGGCUACUCUACAAAAGCCAUCGUAUAAACUUCCGCCAAACUCGUCUGAAGAACUAAAAGAAUUUUUAGAUAAAACUUUCAUCAUGGAUCCUCAAGAGAGACCUUCAGCUAAGCAAUUACUGCAGUUUGAUCGUUUUCUGCUGGGCCCAGCUUCUAUAUCUGAUUAAAAUUAUUUGAAAAAAACGGCAUAAAUCAUUAAUAACAAAUAUAAUUUACGAUAUAUUAGAAUCACAGCUAAAAUACGUGUUUAAAAUAUAAAAGAACAUAUUAUAUAGUGGUCUGCUUUAAAAAAUACAAUGAAAAAUAAUUUUUUCUUUAGAAUAUAGCUUUGUUCAUUUCAAGAUGCAUUCAAAUAAUAUUUUUUGGCAUUUUAUAUAAUGAAUUAAUUUUAACUAAUUUAUUUUUAAUGGUUUUACUGUACAAUGUUUUUUUAUAUCAAUAAAUAUUAAAUGUUAGCACAUACUUCUCAGAUGCAUGUGACAGUGUGGUUUAGCGGUACCGCUCUAUUCUACUUAUGCUAUUCUAUUUAUACUCGAGUUCGAAUCAAGGUUCAAAUCAGUAGAAAAUAACUAAAUCCACCUGAUGUGUACCAAACUCAUGUUAUGUUAAAGGCUUCUGUGCAUAUUGCCUACGAUACUAUCCUUUCCUAUACCGAAGAGCAGGUGAACUCUAGGUCAUUUGCCACAUAGACCAGUUGGCUCGAAAAGGGUACACCACUUUUUCUUACUUUACUGGUAUAAUGUAAACACUUUAUCAAAUUGGUUAAAUCCAAUAUAAUCAUGAUGUUAACAAAGUUAAUUUUUUAUACAUUCUUAUUUUUUGUUCUCUUGGUUCAGAUUAGUAGAGAAGACCUAUUUUACUGUUGGAGUUAACUAUUCAUUUUUUUUGUUUUGUUAGAAAUGUGUGAAAAAUUUCACCCUAGUUCAUGAUGAGUAAAUGUUUUUAUUUCUCGUUUGACUUCAUUGCUUCGUUAAAUGGUAUAUUCCUAAAGCAAUGUCUGAAAUUAUGAUUGCUGUGUCGAUUUAACGCAAUUUCUCAAUAGCAAUACAAUGUAUGCAUAAAUCAGGAAAAAUAACGUCCAUUUCCCGAAUAAUAAUCGACUAUGGCAAUAUCCAAAUGACGUAGUUUAAAGAAAGGCUGUUUAGUCAGCAACCGCUAUUUUUAAAUAGAUAUAAAAUAUUAUUUAAUUUUAUUCAUAUAUUUUUUUUCUU